GGGGCUUAGAGUUUGAUCCUGGCUCAGAACGAACGCUGGCGGCAGGCCUAACACAUGCAAGUCGAGCGCUCUCUUCGGAGGGAGCGGCAGACGGGGGAGUAACGCGUGGGAACCUGCCCAGGGGUACGGAAUAACUCAGGGAAACUUGAGCUAAUACCGUAUACGUCCUGUGGGAGAAAGAUUUAUCGCCCUUGGAUGGGCCCGCGUUGGAUUAGCUUUUUGGGGGGGUAAUGGCCUACCAAGGCGACGAUCCAUAGCUGUUUUGAGAGGAAGAUCAGCCACACUGGGACUGAGACACGGCCCAGACUCCUACGGGAGGCAGCAGUGGGGAAUCUUGGACAAUGGGCGCAAGCCUGAUCCAGCCAUGCCGCGUGAGUGAUGAAGGCCCUAGGGUUUUAAAGCUCUUUCACCGGGGACGAUAAUGACGGUAGCCGGAGAAGAAGCCCCGGCUAACUUCGUGCCAGCAGCCGCGGUAAUACGAAGGGGGCUAGCGUUUUUCGGAAUUACUGGGCGUAAAGCGCACGUAGGCGGAUGAUUAAGUCAGGGGGGAAAGCCCGGAGCUCAACUCCGGAACUGCCCUUGAUACUGGUCAUCUUGAGACCGGGAGAGGAGAGUGGAAUUCCCAGUGUAGAGGUGAAAUUCGUAGAUAUUGGGAAGAACACCCGUGGCGAAGGCGGCUCUCUGGCCCGGUUUUGACGCUGAGGUGCGAAAGUGUGGGGAGCAAACAGGAUUAGAUACCCUGGUAGUCCACACCGUAAACGAUGAAUGCUAGUUGUUGGGGAUCCUAGAUCUUCAGUGACGCCGCUAACGCAUUAAGCAUUCCGCCUGGGGAGUACGGCCGCAAAGGUUAAACUCAAAGGAAUUGACGGGGGCU
This 874-nucleotide ribosomal RNA is filed under the name uncultured Alphaproteobacteria bacterium. Its description in RNAcentral is "bacterial SSU rRNA". It matches the Rfam family "Bacterial small subunit ribosomal RNA", at positions 1 to 921 of the family's 1533-position model. The record is from RNAcentral. Lineage: Bacteria; Pseudomonadati; Pseudomonadota; Alphaproteobacteria.